CGCUGAGCAGAAGGCUCUGGGCUGAGGGAGGCAGAGGAGAGGGGAAGGCAAGGCUGGAGGAGAGGCAGAGGCAGGGGAGAGACUCAGGCCGGGGGAUAAGAGCUGCAAGGCGGGGUGGUUAGAGGGGAAAGAUGGGUCAGGAGAGGCUGCAGGUGUGAGGGCGGGGUGGGCAAAUGAGAAAGGUGAGGGACAGGGGAGGUCAAGAUGAAGGUGCCAUAGCUAGAGGAAGAAUGCUAAGCUAACAUAGGGGGGUGAAGACAGGUGAGGAGAGAAGGACGAUGAGGUGAUAGUGGAGGAAAAUAGAAGACUGGCAGUAGUUACAACAGACAAAAAUAUGACUUUUCCUGAACAGGAACAGGGUAACAGGCAGAGGAAAAGACUAUUAACAAGCAAGGGAGAUUACUAAAGCCCCUUUAAAAGUAGAUCUAGUCUGAAACUGAGACAACAGAGACCAACAUAUAGCCAGAAAUGAGCCAGCAGUAGAUUCUCCUUUUCCCUCCAUGGAUGUACACACUGAUUUGGACGUCCAAUCAGACACCAGGACUGUGGGCCUUGUCAUAAUAACUACCAUGACAUCACUGCAAGGGAUCGCGGAAAGAAGACAGCGGAGCUCCACACAGGCAGAGAGCAGGGGGGACUCCGUGGAGCUGCUGCAACGCCGGCCACAGCGCACCGGCUGACGGAUCGAAACCGCGCGGACUACCGGGGGACUUUGUGUGUGUGGGGGGGGUUGGACAUGGAAGAGGGGUUGCCGCCCGGCUUUGGACGUUUUCAUAGCCGGUUUCGGGAGCUCUUUCUCGGGCUCAAGUUGAGGGUUUGUCUUUUGCCGAAGGGAAGCGAGAGGAAAUUACGGAGGAGGUUGAGCGAGAAAAAUGGCAUCUUGUUUUAAUUUGUGCCAAUCACGACGAGAGGAAGACAACUCCCCAAACUGGCAGGACCUUACAGGACGGUGAAAACAUAACCGAGAAACCAGGACAAGCUUGAACCGGAUGGCUCAAACUGGAACUGGUAGGU
Molecule: non-coding RNA, 1014 nt
Organism: Labrus bergylta (ballan wrasse)
Lineage: Eukaryota; Metazoa; Chordata; Actinopteri; Labriformes; Labridae
Source: RefSeq, a predicted model, not a curated record